CCUACGGGAGGCAGCAGUGAGGAAUAUUGGUCAAUGGCCGGAAGGCUGAACCAGCCAAGCCGCGUGAAGGACGAAGGUGCCAAGCAUUGUAAACUUCUUUUGUCAAGGGACAAAAUCAGGCUCGAGAGCCUGACCGAGGGUACUUGAAGAAAAAGCAUCGGCUAACUCCGUGCCAGCAGCCGCGGUAAUACGGAGGAUGCGAGCGUUAUCCGGAUUUAUUGGGUUUAAAGGGUGCGUAGGCGGACUGUUAAGUCAGCGGUAAAAGCCCGGGGCUCAACCCCGGCGAGCCGUUGAAACUGGCGGUCUGGAGUGGUCGAAGGGUAUGUGGAAUGCGCGGGGUAGCGGUGAAAUGCUUAGAUAUUGCGAAGAACUCCGAUUGCGAAGGCAGCAUACCGGCGGCGAUCUGACGCUGAGGCACGAAAGCGUGGGUAUCGAACAGGAUUAGAUACCCGUGUAGUC
This 459-nucleotide ribosomal RNA is filed under the name uncultured bacterium. RNAcentral's name for it is "partial 16S ribosomal RNA". It matches the Rfam family "Bacterial small subunit ribosomal RNA", at positions 338 to 795 of the family's 1533-position model. The record is from RNAcentral.